AUCCAUCCGAUGAGUCCCAAAAUGGGAUGAAAUGUGCAUCCUGGAU
Molecule: non-coding RNA, 46 nt
Filed under: Trichobilharzia regenti
Lineage: Eukaryota; Metazoa; Platyhelminthes; Trematoda; Strigeidida; Schistosomatidae
Source: RNAcentral